GGGGAUGCGCAGGCGCCGUAGCGUACUCUUGCGCUGAGUUCGUGGAGACCCGCCUCCUCCAAGCCCCUCCUCUGUUUGAAUUUUCGUUUGCUGAGCCAGGUAGUUUUCUACUCAGUUUCCGAAUCCCUGGGUGGAUUUCAAAGCGCUACCGACUUAUACGGUAGACAUUUCAUAAAUUCUUGUCGGAUAUUUAUUCUGUUGAUAAUUUGUUGUAAUGAAUUAUCCUUACCAGUUGAUACCUAUAGUGGCUAAGACUUAAACAGAAAUAUCCUAAAAAUUAAGAGUCUAAACUCCAAUGAGUUACAGCCGAUGUGCUCUUUUUAGCUACUGAAGGAUAGGCCCUGAACUGUGCCAAGGCCUGUAAAUCAGCGUUCAUCUCCAACUAUUUCGAGACUGUGAGACGUGCCAGAUAACAUUGUUGAGCCUUGUGGAAUUACUAUAUGGGCCAUUAAACCAUAACUGAAUGAGCAGCAGCAGGAAAAGGAGAAUGACGAUGAAUAAUAAAAUACAGCCUCCCCCACCCUUUUUUUUUUUUUUUUUAAGAACAUGAUUCUGACUACUUACCUUUCUGGGCUUCUGUAAAAACGUCCUCAUCUGUAAAAAUGAGGAGGUAGGAAGGGGCCUACCAUUUCUUGGGUACCUACUUCAUGUAUAUCUUUUCUCUUUUAGACCUCAUUACCCACCUAGAGUGCACCAUCCAUAAAAUUCUAGUAUACUUGAAUUACUUCUGCAUGAUAACUUUAUAACCAGGUCAUCAGUUUCCUUAUCUGCAGAUUCCAAGUUACUCUUUCUUUUGUAGAUAAAGAGAGAACUCUUGGUUGAGAAUGAGAAAAGGAAGUAAAGCAAAGACAGGUCAGAGUAAGAGGUUUUUGCAGUGAAGACUUUGAAAUAAAGAAGCUGAAAAAAAUUAACGUUCAGGUCUCAAUGACUGCAGUCAAUUGUUCAGCACUUGCAACGUCCCAGGCACUACUAAGCACUCCUCAGUUGGUGAGGAAGAGAUGAGACUGGAGUAGAGUAAGCACCUGAGAAGGUAAGACGUGCUUUGGUGUGACAUUUUCAUCAGCAGACAGAAGCAUCCUUCCCUUUCUUGAGAACAUCUUUUCCAAUAAAUGGAAAGAUGUUUCUGAAAUAUAGUUGUACAAGUAAAGGCUAAUCAACGAAAGCAUUUCAAGUUAAAAUUAUUCUGUGUGUGAGAGAUCAGUGGGAGCUGGGAAGUGGGAGUCAAUGUCUAGUCAUAAAAUUAGAAAAGUGCUGAACAUUUGGUUAAAGGACACAUAUGGUAGAAAAUGCCUUACAGCAUUCAUAUCUGUAACAAAGCAAAAAUAAAGAGACUUAUUAAAACUUGGAGGGAUUAUUUUUUAAAUGUUUCUGAUGAAUCAGGGGUGAUAAAUGGAAAUUAGUUUCUAUUACUACAUUAUUAUUACUACAUUAAAGAAAAAUAUUCUGACACUUGUUAAAAUAGUAAGGCGCACUUCAUUCAGGACUAUUUUGAUAGAUGUCAAGACACUGAGAAUGGGAGAGAGAUUAGGCUCAACUCCAAAUUACAGCAAGGAGUGGGGAUUUAUAGGCAAGGAGCAGAGUUGGAGGGGUUGGUGGUUGGAAAAUUACUAAGAAGAGACAUCAAGGGUGGGGAAAUUUUUGCUAAACCAACUUAACAGAAUUUGUGCUGAAAAAAGGCCAAGGUGAUCAGAUAUCAAGAGUGUGGGUUUCUUUCUAAACUGACACAGAAUUCUUGCUACAGCUGAGCCAGGCAAGCUAGACAGGAAGAUGGAGAAGAGGGCUCAGAGGAGAGUCUUUGUUACUAAUUUAAGAUAUGUAAAAUGUCACAGGUAUUCUAUGCAGAGUACUACUUUUAUGGUAUUAAUUUAAUAACUUUAAAAGUUGAAUUACCUAUUAGAAAUCAUAAGUUUUGCUGAGUGUGCUAAUGUACACCUGUAGUUCCAGCUACACAAGAGGCUAAGGCAGGAAGAUUGCUUGAGCCCAGGAUAUCAAAGCCAGACUGGGCUGCAUAGGGAGACCUACUUCUCUAAAAAAGAAAAAAUCAUAAGUUUUUCAGCACUGCAUUCUCCUACUGAGAAACAUGUCAGGAACCAUCACAGUCAGAGAGGUCUUACCACCCACAUUUUACAAAUGAGGAAACUAAGACUUAGGAUAAGCAAACACUAUGCCCAAAGACACACAGAUCUUCAAAUGGCAGAACUAGAGAUUUUGUUCAAUUGAUUGGAAAGUCAAAGCACUUAUACUUCAAGAUGAGUGACCCAAGCAGUUCUAGAUUUAUGUGACUCUAUGUGCAGAGCUUGGUCUUUAGACCACACAGUCGUUUAUGAAGUAUCAAAGAACCUUAAAAAGCUAUCUUACUUGGGACAGAAAGAAGGUAAAACUGGAAAAACCCGGGAAAACAAAGAAUCUAUAGCAUAGUUUAUAGUAAUGUAUGGAUUUCAGUCUUUACUUAAUUUUGACCAAUGUACCAUAGUAAUAUAAGAUUUAAUAAUGAGGGAACCUGGAUAAGAGGACUAUAGGAACUCUCUAUGCUAUUUUUGUUCUUUGUAAAUAUUCUAUGAAAGUAUUCUAAAAUAAAAAACUUACUUUAAAAUAUCUAUGUCAUAUUUCACUGUUGAGAAUUCAGUAAGAAAUACCCCUUAGCCUUCAAAUAAGUAGCUGAUCCAUCUUGAAACUUUCCAAGAUCAUUUAGUUAAAUAGAAAAAGAAAAUUCACAGCCUUCCUUGGCAUUGUCUCCUAGUAUCUUGUAAGCUUCAUAUCAGGAAAUGAGUUUCAAAAGCUAAAUUAAAUCCUUCCCAUUUCAA
Long non-coding RNA from Sapajus apella (tufted capuchin), 2804 nucleotides. RefSeq lists it as uncharacterized. NCBI's taxonomy places the organism in Eukaryota, Metazoa, Chordata, Mammalia, Primates, Cebidae. The transcript is spliced from 2 exons. The record is from RefSeq and is a predicted model, not a curated record.